RNAcentral lists this ribosomal RNA (422 nucleotides) under Perinereis sp. Tosuji-2019. RNAcentral describes it as "partial 16S ribosomal RNA". It matches the Rfam family "Bacterial large subunit ribosomal RNA", at positions 1855 to 2570 of the family's 2925-position model. Lineage: Eukaryota; Metazoa; Annelida; Polychaeta; Phyllodocida; Nereididae. The record is from RNAcentral.
CAUCCUGCCCAGUGAAUUUAUUUUCAACGGCCGCGGUAUCCUGACCGUGCAAAGGUAGCAUAAUCAUUUGCCUUUUAAUUGAAGGCUAGUAUGAAAGGACACACAAGAAUAAAGCUGUCUCAUUUGGGUUAUCUUUAAACUGAUUUUUAGGUGAAGAAGCCUAAAUCCCUAUAAAGGACAAGAAGACCCUAUAGAGCUUUAUCAGUAAAAGUUAUUAAACUUAUUUACUGAUUUGGUUGGGACAACCAAAAGACAAUAAUACCUCUUUUUUCCAAAAUAUCCACCCUCACCCAUAACUGAAACAGAAUUUCAAGCUACCUUAGGGAUAACAGGCUAAUCCCACUAGAGAGACCACAUUGACAGUGGGGAUUGGCACCUCGAUGUUGGCUUAGUGUUACCAUUAGGCGCAGCCGCUUAAUUGA